ACCCUGUCGUCGAAAGCCCCUCGGCCCAAUCCAAUCGCCCGCACUCCACAACCCUCCCUUCCUCCUCGAUCUCUCUCCCUCAGCCACCACAAACCCUAGGUCCUCCCCUUCUACCCUACUCUCCACCGCGCCGCCUCCUCCUCCCCUUCACCAUUCCCUCCAGCGGCAGGCACAGGGAGACGACGACGGCGCUCGAUUUGAGCCGCCCCGCUCCCCUCCCUCUCCACUGCGCCUCGGCCUCGGCCGCCCCGUGCUCUGCCGGCGCCCGUCGGCCUCGAUCCGGCCUUGGCAGGAGGAGCUCGCCCUCGAGACAGGAGGAGGGGAGCAGGAGGAUACAGGAGCAUGGCCUUCUUCUCGCGCUGCAGCCACCGGCCUUGUCCUGCUCGAGGAGGAGGAGCAGCAGGAGGGGCGCACCCAGCCACCAAGGUAGCCUUCGUCGAGGGCUUCUUACACCUGAACCUCGAUCUCCACGGUGCUGGCGUCCAGCAACUCAAGUUCAAGGGAAGGAGAGGAUGAUGACGCCCAGACAUGGAGAGGAACAACAGCAGCUCAAGAUGCUAAUGUGGCUGCCAUAUCUGUGCCAAGCAGUGCCUGCUUAUAAAGUGGUGAAGCUACAGGGAAGAGGGAGGAAGUCGGCGACAGGGUGAAGGAGCAGGCCGGCCCUCAUGGAGGCAGCGCUACCAGCCAGCUAGGGAGGCGGUCCGGCUCACCUCUGCUAUGCCAUGAGCGGCGGCGCUACCUCUGCCUCCAGUCUCACCUCCUCUGCCAACCAUUGGAAAAUUUAGGGGAGACCCAAGGCGAGCUUCCCCUCUGUUGCAUGCACUCCUGAUCUCUAAAGAUUUCUGUAGCCUAAAUGCCUAUGUACCAUAAUAAUAAUUCAAGCGGAUGGCCAAUGCACCUUGGUGUUUAGCAGUAUGAUGGUCGGUGAAAGUAUGUUAUAUAUAUAUAUUGCAAGGAUCAUAAGAUGCUUUUACACAUGAUUGUGUGAUGCUCAGAGACAUUUCGCACAGUAGAAACUUCUUGUGAAGCUUGAUUUUAUUCAGGUGCCUAACUGACUACCACUUCCUCGGCGUUUGUGCUUACCAGCAUGCUGUAAACUUCUUGUGAAGCUCGCUGUUUCAUGUGCCUAACUGACUGCCACUUUCCAUAAUCAUGCUUAUUUGCAUCCAGAUGGUGAUUUUGGGCUGAAAGAUUAUUGCAAGCUUAGAAUCUUUUAAAUGCCCUUAUUGACAUGAUUUGUAUGAUAAACUUCCAAAAUAUUCAUUUAACAUUGCUAUUUUUCUUCAGAGCCAUAUGAAUUUUUUUAUAGAAACAUGUGCAGAGUAAAAUGGACACAUCUUCUGGUACAUCUGAGGACAGUGUGAUUUAUUUUCAUAGAAUGUUGUCAUCUAUAUCUUGCUGAAGUACAGAACUAUUGGUCAGUUAAUUCUCUCACUCAUCAAUUUACAAAUUCAGUACUCCCUUUGUAAACAAAUAUAGGAGUGUUUAGAUCACUAUUUUAGUGAUCUAAACGCUCUUAUAUUAAUUUACGGAGGGACUAUUUUAUUUCACAUGGGGCUUGGCUGGUUUACGUUUAAUUCAUGCAUCAUAUAUGGUUGUUUAGUUCAGACUUGUGCAUGUGCAUGCAUUGGAAUUGAUUUAACAAAGAUAUAGCAUGAUUAUGUACAUAAAAAUAGUAUGAGUAUGCAUGAUCUAUGAAUAAAUGCUCGGAUAUAGUUAGUCAUGAGAUAGUAGGAGUAUCAUGAGCUUACAACCUCUGGAUAUGAUUAAUACUUAAAUGGCAUGUAGUUGUUCAAAAAUCUGGAAUGUCUUUCGAGAACUGUUGAUCAGUGUUGCUAUAAGUAUUUCUCAGAGUUUUGGUUGCAUGGAUGUACAUUAGAGUAGCAGAGGUUCUUAUUUUACUUUGUCCAGAAGAGGGGCUUUUACUUAUUUUUGUUCACAAUUUUUAUCUAACUUUCUAUCAGCACCAACGACCACAAUGGGAUGGAUCAAGCAGCCAAGACUUAGAGUGUGGUCGGGCAGCGCCAUGGGGCAGAUCUGUGCGGCGCAAGGGGCGGCAGAUGCGAAACUGAAGCUUCCCUGAACUUCGGAGCAGUCAAUUGAGAAGAUGGACACGACGAGUGAGGAUUGGUGCUACCGCCCCUGGUAGGAGCCCAAUGUCCUAAUCGAACUACUGUCAUGGAGAGGGCAAUACGUGGAUUUGCUUCAGAUAUUGGAGACAACGCCAUUGUGCCGAAGCUCGGAACAAUCUUCAAUACAUUGAGUGAAGCAUACGAUUUUUACAAUCUGUAUUUAUGGGAGAAAGGAUUUGGCAUUCGAUAUGGUAAAAGCUGUCUGAAUGUUGAGAGGACGUGGAAAUCUAUUGUGGAUAAUACUGGUCUUGCCGGCGUUAGUGCCCUACUCUGAUAAGGCUGCUGCAGUCUGAACCAUUCAUUGUAUCACACGUAUGCGCAGACGAUACACUGACGAUCGCACAAGCACAUCAACGUGCACAGCAGGGAUUUGAUGAAGAAUUUGAGGCAGAACAAUGUGAACCUUGCUAAAGUGCACAACAUUAGGCAGUUUCCUUGGGUCGAUGGAGAAUGUGCCUUUCACAAAAAGAGCUUCAAGGAGCUUGUGUGGCAAAAUAAGCUGCGAGCAACCGGCUGAUGAUGUUAGUUAAACGAUGGAGGUGUUUGCGGAGCUUGGUUCAAAGGAUCCUCACUUCACAUAUCAUGUACAGGCCGAUAAGGAGGGAAGGAUAAACGCACUCGUGUGGGCAAAUGGGGACAGUAGGCUGGUGCAAAAAAGACUGUAGCUUAUUCUCAAAUUUUCUGUCUCUAAUACUGAAUUUGGUGUGUACCGAUAAAUCAUGUAGCGUGUGAGAUCCAUCAUGCAGUUUAACUGCUAAUCCCAAUUAUGUUAUGCAUGCCCUGAAGCUGA
Molecule: long non-coding RNA, 2922 nt
Organism: Triticum aestivum (bread wheat)
Lineage: Eukaryota; Viridiplantae; Streptophyta; Magnoliopsida; Poales; Poaceae
Exons: 8
Source: RefSeq, a predicted model, not a curated record